RNAcentral lists this ribosomal RNA (468 nucleotides) under uncultured bacterium. Its description in RNAcentral is "partial 16S ribosomal RNA". It matches the Rfam family "Bacterial small subunit ribosomal RNA", at positions 28 to 507 of the family's 1533-position model. The record is from RNAcentral.
GACGAACGCUGGCGGCGUGCUUAACACAUGCAAGUCGAACGGUGAAGCUCCAGCUUGCUGGAGUGGAUCAGUGGCGAACGGGUGAGUAACACGUGAGCAACCUGCCCCUGACUCUGGAAUAAGCGCUGGAAACGGCGUCUAAUACUGGAUACGAGUAGGGUCCGCAUGGGCACUUUCUGGAAAGUUUUUCGGUUGGGGAUGGGCUCGCGGCCUAUCAGCUUGUUGGUGAGGUAAUGGCUCACCAAGGCGACGACGGGUAGCCGGCCUGAGAGGGCGACCGGCCACACUGGGACUGAGACACGGCCCAGACUCCUACGGGAGGCAGCAGUGGGGAAUAUUGCACAAUGGGCGAAAGCCUGAUGCAGCGACGCCGCGUGAGGGAUGACGGCCUUCGGGUUGUAAACCUCUUUCAGCAGGGAAGAAGCGAAAGUGACGGUACCUGCAGAAGAAGCACCGGCUAACUACGUG